UAAACUAUAACCUCAGAUCCACAUCAGCUUUCACCCUUAACAAAACCAGAUCACUACGCCUAUAAAAAUAUUAGAUCAAUUCUCAGAAAUAGUUUAGUGACAAGCCAGCAUAGUUCUUUAAAAUCCUUUUCCACCUUGACUGAUUCUUCUGUUGUCGUUGUGUCUCCUUGGCAUUACACUCCACCCAGAAUCCCAGCUCUCUUCCUCUCAUCUUCCCACUCUUCUUGGGGUCUAUCUUACGAGGGAUUCCCUCUGGCUCUCUCUUUCUCUGCUCCCUGUUCUCUUGCCUCACUCACCCUUUCCCACAAUGUCAAAUAUUCUGCCAACCAGCAUGCCUUUUCCAAACAUAUCUCUGCACAAUAAGGGAGUGGAGUGUACCAUGGGCCUCCUCUUCCUGUUCCUCGCUCCCUCUUGCUGCAUGGAGUAAAAAACUGUCAGGGAAGGCAGUGUGGAGACUGAGCAGCAUAGCAAAGGAAAACCUUAUCCUCCAUAUCUCUCCCCCCAAGAUGUUUUCAAAGUUAUGCAAGGUUUCAUUAGUACAAUGGAACUACAUGUUUAGGCCCCCCCCCCCCCCCCGAGAAAUUGUUGGUUACAUGUUGCACAACCACCUCCCAUUACACAAAUGCAACCCAUAUAUUCCUCUGACCCUUUAUUUUUUGUUGCAUAAGAAGACCUGCAGGCAUUGGUGGCUUUACUCUUUGCCAAGUUACAUUCUAUAUCCACAUAGGAAUCCAAGAAGAAAGAGAAAGAAAGAGGAAUGAUGUCGGAUCUGUUAAAAAAAUAACAUCUUCAGUUCAACCUGUGAUUUAUAGUCAGCAUUGGAGUUCUGUUAUACAUCCAGCCACUCACAGAUGUUAAUCUGGUCAGUCAUCAAGAUGAGGGUUAUUUUCAGUUGUAACAAGCAAAGCUGGGAACCUUUUCCCAAGGCAGAACUAGAAGCUGGUGGCAGUACUGAAGAGAGAGAUAAGAUGGCACCAAUGGUUUCCUGCAUCCAGAUGAUUGAGCUACUUCACCACAUUGGUUUAAAGACACCAUAGUUUGGUAUGACAACUUUAUUGGACUAAAGAUGGUUAUCAUACAUUACCUUUAAACCACACUCAGGGCACUCAAUUUGAACCAGAAAGUCAAAGAAAAAAUCAUCACCAAGUGUGAGGAGAUGGCAAAGAGGGAGUGCAAGAAGAGUACAUUCCUGGUAUGCUUACUUCUGUCAUCUGAACACAGCCUCGCAGGCUAACCUUCUUAACACAGUGGAAUGUCUGUCAAAGACAUAUAGAUGGCCAGAAUGGACAAAACAAAAACUGAAGGGGAAAAGCUUCCACAAACAGCAAGGAAAUAUUAGGAGGCUGUGAGUGUUUGCAGCAAAGAGCCAAUGAGAUAUCAUGCCCAGGAAUCAGCAUGAGGACAAACUGGAAGAAUGACUGAUGUGGGGCCUUUGCAACCUGGUCUGGAGCUCGCCUCAACAGCUGUGAGGAGACUUUUUCAGCUUUUAUCUGGAUGUUUUCAGACACAAAGGAAUUUUCCAAGACGAGAAGCUCACCUACUAAGUAACUCAUCGGCUAUGUAUCAUAACUGGUUUGUAAAACGUUCUCACAAGGCUCCUCAGUGAAGGCUAUGGGAUUCUCCACAGCUUGGGAAAACACCUUUUUUGGACUAUAGCUCCCAAACCUCUUCAACCAGGUUAUUGGCUGGAAUAUUGUGGGGGUUGGAGUCCCAAAAAAGGACCUUUGCCAAAGUGUCAGAUAAACCUUUGUUUUGUUUUUAAAAAACCCAGGCUUGCAUCAGUCAGACAGAAUCAUGGGAUAUUAAAUUCACUUCCUCUAGAAUGUACAGUUUGGAUCAGAAGCAUCCAUGUUGCUGUCCUUGCUGCCUCCAAAUUUAGCUCUCUCGCUCUCCUUCAUAAGCCCCUGGGGAAAUCUCUUUGCAGAUGUGCUGCUCAUACCCUGGCUUCAUUCCUCUUCUCCGGUUCUGUUUUGCUCAGAGGCAAGGAUGGCACCCUGGAAGACACAGAUGAAGGAGGCUGUUAUGUCACAACUAUUAAGCUUGAUAUUGGGUGUCUUUCUGGGAGCAAGAAAUUGUGAUUCACAGCUAGAAUUUCUUUUCCUCUUCCUAUUGCAUUGCUUUCUGCAUUUCUGGACAACAAAGGAAGAAGGGAGAAAAUACUGCCACCAUUGCAUAAAUUCCUCUAAUUCUCAUCUUGCAAAUGGCAGCGUGCAGAAGAAUGAGGAAGUACUCAAUCAAAGGACUCACUGUCACAAUGGACACAAUGAAGUGGCAACUCCCCCUGUGGCUGGAAUCGAGCCGGAAUCCAGCAUACCCUCAUGAAGCCGGAAAAAGCUUGGGCACAGCUGGAAUGUUAAACUGCCUCUAUGUCUGUUCAUAUGUGUUGUAUGUCUAACUGGCACUGAAUGUUUGCCAUGUAUAUGUACAUUGUAAUCUGCCCUGAGUCCCCUGAGGGGUGAGAAGGGUGGAAUAUAAAUACUGUAAAUAAAAUUUAAAAAAAUAAAAUAAAAUUCUGACAAUGAAA
This is a non-coding RNA of Anolis sagrei ordinatus, 2524 nucleotides long. The record is from RefSeq and is a predicted model, not a curated record. NCBI's taxonomy places the organism in Eukaryota, Metazoa, Chordata, Lepidosauria, Squamata, Anolidae.